This 441-nucleotide ribosomal RNA is filed under the name uncultured bacterium. RNAcentral's name for it is "partial 16S ribosomal RNA". It matches the Rfam family "Bacterial small subunit ribosomal RNA", at positions 339 to 795 of the family's 1533-position model. The record is from RNAcentral.
CUACGGGGUGCAGCAGUAGGGAAUAUUGCACAAUGGGCGAAAGCCUGAUGCAGCAACGCCGCGUGUGCGAUGAAGGCCUUCGGGUCGUAAAGCACUUUUUGAGAGGAUGAGAAAGGACAGUACUCUCAGAAUAAGUCUCGGCUGAACUACGUGCCAGCAGCCGCGGUAACACGUAGGAGGCAAGCGUUAUCCGGAUUUACUGGGCGUAAAGCGCGUGCAGGUGGUUUGGUAAGUUGGAUGUGAAAUCUCCCGGCUCAACUGGGUGAGGUCGUUCAAAACUGCCAAGCUAGAGGACGGUAGAGGAAAGUGGAAUUCCCGGUGUAGUGGUGAAAUGCGUAGAUAUCGGGAGGAACACCAGUGGCGAAAGCGACUUUCUGGCCCGUUCCUGACACUAAGACGCGAAAGCUAGGGUAGCAAACGGGAUUAGAUACCCCGGUAGUC